Molecule: ribosomal RNA, 786 nt
Filed under: uncultured bacterium
Lineage: Bacteria
Description: bacterial SSU rRNA
Rfam family: Bacterial small subunit ribosomal RNA
Source: RNAcentral
CAAGCCCUUACAACAUCGCCAAGUCAGAACGGUUACAAGGAAGACAGGUUUCUUUUUUGGCGGAUGGAGGUGCGGACGGGGUGAGUAAAUGUUCUGGAAACCUCCAAAAGGGAGGGGGAAUAACUACGAGAAACCGCUAGGUAAAUACCGCAUUACGUCGCAAGACCAAAAGAGGGGGGACCCUUUGGGGCUUUCUUGGCCAUCUGAUGUGCCCCGAAUGGGGUUUAGCUAGUAGGUGGGGUAAGGGUUCACCUUGGGCGACGAUCCCUAGCUGGUCUGAGAGGAUACCACCCACACUGGAAUUAGACACGAUCCAGAUUCCUACGGGAGGCACCAGUGGGGAAUAUUGCACAAUGGGCGCAAGCCGGAUGCAGCCACGCCGGGUGUAGGAGGAAGCCCUUCGGGUUGUAAAGUACUUUCAGCGGGGAGGAAGGGAGUAAAGUUAAUACCUUGGGUCAUUGACGUUACCCACGGAAGAAGCCCCGGUUAACUCCGGUCCAGCAACCGGGGUAAUUCAGAGGGGGCAAGGGUUAUUUGGAAUUACUGGGGGUAAAGCGCACGCAAGGGGUUUGUUAAGUUAGAUGUGAAAUCCCCGGGUUCAACCUUGGAAUUGAAUUUGAUUCUGGCAAGUUUGGAUUUGGUAAGGGGGGAUAGAAUUUCAGAUGUAGCAGGGAAAAGUGUUGAGAUGGGAAGAAUCCCCAUGGGGAAGGGGGCCCCUGGGACAAAGAAUGGAGGUCAGGUGGGAAAGCCUGGGGGACAAACCGGGUUUGGUACCUUGGUAGUCCA